RNAcentral lists this ribosomal RNA (451 nucleotides) under uncultured bacterium. RNAcentral's name for it is "partial 16S ribosomal RNA". It matches the Rfam family "Bacterial small subunit ribosomal RNA", at positions 354 to 796 of the family's 1533-position model. The record is from RNAcentral. RNAcentral also lists the same sequence under 1 other name.
GUGGGGAAUAUUGGACAAUGGGGGGAACCCUGAUCCAGCCAUGCCGCGUGUGUGAAGAAGGCCUUUUGGUUGUAAAGCACUUUAAGCGAGGAGGAGGAGCUCUUGGUUAAUACCCAAGAUGCUUGGACGUUACUCGCAGAAUAAGCACCGGCUAACUCUGUGCCAGCAGCCGCGGUAAUACAGAGGGUGCAAGCGUUAAUCGGAUUUACUGGGCGUAAAGCGCGCGUAGGUGGCCAAUUAAGUCAAAUGUGAAAUCCCCGAGCUUAACUUGGGAAUUGCAUUCGAUACUGGUUGGCUAGAGUAUGGGAGAGGAUGGUAGAAUUCCAGGUGUAGCGGUGAAAUGCGUAGAGAUCUGGAGGAAUACCGAUGGCGAAGGCAGCCAUCUGGCCUAAUACUGACACUGAGGUGCGAAAGCAUGGGGAGCAAACAGGAUUAGAAACCCCAGUAGUCC